UCUGUGUAGGAUAGGUGGGAGGCUUUGAAACCGGGACGCUAGUUUCGGUGGAGCCGUCCUUGAAAUACCACCCUGGUUUGUUUGAGGUUCUAACCUUGGCCCGUGAAUCCGGGUCGGGGACAGUGCAUGGUAGGCAGUUUGACUGGGGCGGUCUCCUCCCAAAGUGUAACGGAGGAGUUCGAAGGUACGCUUGGUACGGUCGGACAUCGUACCUAAAGUGCAAUGGCAAAAGCGUGCUUAACUGCGAGACCGACAAGUCGAGCAGGUGCGAAAGCAGGACAUAGUGAUCCGGUGGUUCUGUAUGGAAGGGCCAUCGCUCAACGGAUAAAAGGUACUCUAGGGAUAACA
Molecule: ribosomal RNA, 348 nt
Filed under: uncultured eukaryote
Lineage: Eukaryota
Description: LSU rRNA
Rfam family: Bacterial large subunit ribosomal RNA
Source: RNAcentral